CCCGGGGUUGGCACCCCAGGCUGUAUUCUGUCGCCGCUUUGCGGCU
Molecule: non-coding RNA, 46 nt
Organism: Desulfobacteraceae bacterium 4572_88
Lineage: Bacteria; Pseudomonadati; Thermodesulfobacteriota; Desulfobacteria; Desulfobacterales; Desulfobacteraceae
Source: Rfam